GAAAACGCGAUGAUGAGAAGAGUAAGGAAGUUCUGUUCUUGCACAGAGAGCUCCGGUAGGUGAAAAGGAGCAAAGGGCAAUUUCCCGAACCAAGCCUCUGAGCAGCAUGCCGGAACCUUCAAGGGGGAUGGCAUGACGGGAGCUCCCGUUAUAGAGCUAGAGUAUAAGCAUUGCCUGCAAUGCCGUACUUAAAGAGGUUAAUAUGGCGACAUAUUAAUGAACCUGGGGUGGCACCGCGACAACUUCGUCCCCAAG
This 255-nucleotide non-coding RNA is filed under the name Paenibacillus sabinae. Its description in RNAcentral is "T-box sequence". It matches the Rfam family "T-box leader". Rfam says of the family: Uncharged tRNA acts as the effector for transcription antitermination of genes in the T-box leader family. T-boxes are found upstream of many aminoacyl-tRNA synthetase genes and some amino acid biosynthetic genes usually in Gram-positive bacteria. The anticodon of a specific tRNA base pairs to a specifier sequence within the T-box motif, and the NCCA acceptor tail of the tRNA base pairs to a conserved bulge in the T-box antiterminator hairpin. The record is from RNAcentral. Lineage: Bacteria; Bacillati; Bacillota; Bacilli; Caryophanales; Paenibacillaceae.